RNAcentral lists this ribosomal RNA (484 nucleotides) under uncultured bacterium. RNAcentral describes it as "partial 16S ribosomal RNA". It matches the Rfam family "Bacterial small subunit ribosomal RNA", at positions 28 to 507 of the family's 1533-position model. The record is from RNAcentral.
GUUGAACGCUGGCGGCAGGCCUAACACAUGCAAGUCGAGCGGAUGAUGGGUGCUUGCUCCUGGAUUCAGCGGCGGACGGGGGAGUAAUGCCUAGGAAUCUGCCUGGUAGUGGGGGAUAACGUCCGGGAAGGGGCGCUAAUAACGCAGACGUUCUGAGGGAGAAAGUGGGGGUUCUUCGGAGCACACGGUAGCAGAGGAGCCUAGGUCGGAUUAGCGAGUUGGUGGGGUAAAGGCCUACCAAGGGGGCGAUCCGUAACUGGUCUGAGAGGAUGAGCAGUCACACUGGAACUGAGACACGGCCCAGACUCCUACGGGAGGCAGCAGUGGGGAAUUUUGGGCAAUGGGCGAAAGCCUGCCCCAGCCAUGCCGCGUGUGUGAAGAAGGUCUUCGGAUUGUAAAGCCCUUUAAGUUGGGAGGAAGGGCAGUAAGUUAAAACCUUGCUGUUUUGACGUUACCAACCGAAUAAGCACCGGCUAACUUCGUG